RNAcentral lists this ribosomal RNA (2539 nucleotides) under Escherichia coli. RNAcentral describes it as "partial 23S ribosomal RNA". It matches the Rfam family "Bacterial large subunit ribosomal RNA", at positions 156 to 2719 of the family's 2925-position model. Lineage: Bacteria; Pseudomonadati; Pseudomonadota; Gammaproteobacteria; Enterobacterales; Enterobacteriaceae. The record is from RNAcentral.
AACUGAAUCCAUAGGUUAAUGAGGCGAACCGGGGGAACUGAAACAUCUAAGUACCCCGAGGAAAAGAAAUCAACCGAGAUUCCCCCAGUAGCGGCGAGCGAACGGGGAGCAGCCCAGAGCCUGAAUCAGUAUGUGUGUUAGUGGAAGCGUCUGGAAAGGCGCGCGAUACAGGGUGACAGCCCCGUACACAAAAAUGCACAUGCUGUGAGCUCGAUGAGUAGGGCGGGACACGUGGUAUCCUGUCUGAAUAUGGGGGGACCAUCCUCCAAGGCUAAAUACUCCUGACUGACCGAUAGUGAACCAGUACCGUGAGGGAAAGGCGAAAAGAACCCCGGCGAGGGGAGUGAAAAAGAACCUGAAACCGUGUACGUACAAGCAGUGGGAGCACGCUUAGGCGUGUGACUGCGUACCUUUUGUAUAAUGGGUCAGCGACUUAUAUUCUGUAGCAAGGUUAACCGAAUAGGGGAGCCGAAGGGAAACCGAGUCUUAACUGGGCGUUAAGUUGCAGGGUAUAGACCCGAAACCCGGUGAUCUAGCCAUGGGCAGGUUGAAGGUUGGGUAACACUAACUGGAGGACCGAACCGACUAAUGUUGAAAAAUUAGCGGAUGACUUGUGGCUGGGGGUGAAAGGCCAAUCAAACCGGGAGAUAGCUGGUUCUCCCCGAAAGCUAUUUAGGUAGCGCCUCGUGAAUUCAUCUCCGGGGGUAGAGCACUGUUUCGGCAAGGGGGUCAUCCCGACUUACCAACCCGAUGCAAACUGCGAAUACCGGAGAAUGUUAUCACGGGAGACACACGGCGGGUGCUAACGUCCGUCGUGAAGAGGGAAACAACCCAGACCGCCAGCUAAGGUCCCAAAGUCAUGGUUAAGUGGGAAACGAUGUGGGAAGGCCCAGACAGCCAGGAUGUUGGCUUAGAAGCAGCCAUCAUUUAAAGAAAGCGUAAUAGCUCACUGGUCGAGUCGGCCUGCGCGGAAGAUGUAACGGGGCUAAACCAUGCACCGAAGCUGCGGCAGCGACGCUGAUGCGUUGUUGGGUAGGGGAGCGUUCUGUAAGCCUGCGAAGGUGUGCUGUGAGGCAUGCUGGAGGUAUCAGAAGUGCGAAUGCUGACAUAAGUAACGAUAAAGCGGGUGAAAAGCCCGCUCGCCGGAAGACCAAGGGUUCCUGUCCAACGUUAAUCGGGGCAGGGUGAGUCGACCCCUAAGGCGAGGCCGAAAGGCGUAGUCGAUGGGAAACAGGUUAAUAUUCCUGUACUUGGUGUUACUGCGAAGGGGGGACGGAGAAGGCUAUGUUGGCCGGGCGACGGUUGUCCCGGUUUAAGCGUGUAGGCUGGUUUUCCAGGCAAAUCCGGAAAAUCAAGGCUGAGGCGUGAUGACGAGGCACUACGGUGCUGAAGCAACAAAUGCCCUGCUUCCAGGAAAAGCCUCUAAGCAUCAGGUAACAUCAAAUCGUACCCCAAACCGACACAGGUGGUCAGGUAGAGAAUACCAAGGCGCUUGAGAGAACUCGGGUGAAGGAACUAGGCAAAAUGGUGCCGUAACUUCGGGAGAAGGCACGCUGAUAUGUAGGUGAAGUCCCUCGCGGAUGGAGCUGAAAUCAGUCGAAGAUACCAGCUGGCUGCAACUGUUUAUUAAAAACACAGCACUGUGCAAACACGAAAGUGGACGUAUACGGUGUGACGCCUGCCCGGUGCCGGAAGGUUAAUUGAUGGGGUUAGCGCAAGCGAAGCUCUUGAUCGAAGCCCCGGUAAACGGCGGCCGUAACUAUAACGGUCCUAAGGUAGCGAAAUUCCUUGUCGGGUAAGUUCCGACCUGCACGAAUGGCGUAAUGAUGGCCAGGCUGUCUCCACCCGAGACUCAGUGAAAUUGAACUCGCUGUGAAGAUGCAGUGUACCCGCGGCAAGACGGAAAGACCCCGUGAACCUUUACUAUAGCUUGACACUGAACAUUGAGCCUUGAUGUGUAGGAUAGGUGGGAGGCUUUGAAGUGUGGACGCCAGUCUGCAUGGAGCCGACCUUGAAAUACCACCCUUUAAUGUUUGAUGUUCUAACGUUGACCCGUAAUCCGGGUUGCGGACAGUGUCUGGUGGGUAGUUUGACUGGGGCGGUCUCCUCCUAAAGAGUAACGGAGGAGCACGAAGGUUGGCUAAUCCUGGUCGGACAUCAGGAGGUUAGUGCAAUGGCAUAAGCCAGCUUGACUGCGAGCGUGACGGCGCGAGCAGGUGCGAAAGCAGGUCAUAGUGAUCCGGUGGUUCUGAAUGGAAGGGCCAUCGCUCAACGGAUAAAAGGUACUCCGGGGAUAACAGGCUGAUACCGCCCAAGAGUUCAUAUCGACGGCGGUGUUUGGCACCUCGAUGUCGGCUCAUCACAUCCUGGGGCUGAAGUAGGUCCCAAGGGUAUGGCUGUUCGCCAUUUAAAGUGGUACGCGAGCUGGGUUUAGAACGUCGUGAGACAGUUCGGUCCCUAUCUGCCGUGGGCGCUGGAGAACUGAGGGGGGCUGCUCCUAGUACGAGAGGACCGGAGUGGACGCAUCACUGGUGUUCGG